Molecule: regulatory RNA element, 145 nt
Organism: Dorea sp. CAG:105
Lineage: Bacteria; Bacillati; Bacillota; Clostridia; Lachnospirales; Lachnospiraceae
Rfam family: Ribosomal protein L10 leader
About the family: This family is a putative r-protein leader autoregulatory structure found in B. subtilis and other low-GC Gram-positive bacteria. It is located in the 5' untranslated regions of mRNAs encoding ribosomal proteins L10 and L12 (rplJ-rplL).
Source: Rfam
UAAUCUGUUCAAGGACUGCCGAAGACAGUAGGUAUUCGCAAGAAUGUAAGGAUGAGAUUCAGACGCCUACCGAGGAAAAAUCGAUACAAAAUGUAUGACUUUACAACCUCUAUGUCUUAGGAUGUAGAGGUUUUAUUUUUUAUCU